Molecule: RNA transcript, 4097 nt
Organism: Gorilla gorilla gorilla (western lowland gorilla)
Lineage: Eukaryota; Metazoa; Chordata; Mammalia; Primates; Hominidae
Gene: HEMK2
Gene name: HemK methyltransferase 2, ETF1 glutamine and histone H4 lysine
Exons: 11
Source: RefSeq, a predicted model, not a curated record
GCAUAGAACGCAGUGAAGGACUAUGGCAGGGCAGAGCUUCGCUACGCCGUUCCACGGGCACGUGGGCCGCGGCGCCUUCAGCGACGUGUACGAGCCCGCGGAGGACACGUUUCUGCUUUUGGACGCGCUCGAGGCAGCGGCUGCCGAGCUGGCAGGAGUGGAAAUAUGCCUGGAAGUAGGGUCAGGGUCUGGUGUAGUAUCUGCAUUCCUAGCCUCUAUGAUAGGCCCUCAGGCUUUGUACAUGUGUACCGAUAUCAACCCUGAGGCAGCAGCUUGUACCCUAGAGACAGCACGCUGUAACAAAGUUCACAUUCAACCAGUUAUUACAGAUUUGGUCAAAGGCUUGCUACCAAGAUUGACGGAAAAAGUUGAUCUUCUGGUGUUUAAUCCCCCCUAUGUAGUGACUCCACCUCAAGAGGUAGGAAGUCACGGAAUAGAGGCAGCUUGGGCUGGUGGCAGAAAUGGUCGGGAAGUCAUGGACAGGUUUUUUCCCCUGGUUCCAGAUCUCCUUUCACCAAGAGGAUUAUUCUAUUUAGUUACCAUUAAAGAAAACAACCCAGAAGAAAUCUUGAAAAUAAUGAAGACAAAAGGUUUGCAAGGAACCACUGCACUUUCCAGACAAGCAGGCCAAGAAACUCUUUCAGUCCUCAAGUUCACCAAGUCUUAGCAUACAGGGUGUGCCCAGAACUACUGGAAACUGAAUGCAUUUAGCAUAUUUUGAAACUGAAGUCAUUCAUUAGAUGGAUUUACAUCACUGGCUCCCCUGGUUCUCAAGCCUUUGGAUUCAGACUGAAUUAUACCACAGGACUUCCUGGGUCUCCAGCUUAUAGAUGACAGAUCAUGGGACCUCUUAGCCUCCAUAAUCAUGAGGUAUUACUGAAGUAAACUUCCAGUAUCCAGAUCCAAAGCGGUGGACAGUGAAAAUAAGCGGAACUAAGUUGGGGCCUGGCUGUGUUGCUUAGGCUGUGUGAAACACCUGGUAUUAAGCGAUCCUCUCACCCUGGCCUCCCAAAGCAUUGGGAUUACAGGGCUCUGUAGAGAACUGCCCCUUGCCCAACUCUCUGAGCCCCGUCAUGAUGGGAACAGGCCAAGAGACUGUGAAGGAGAAAAGAAUGGGAACUGUGAGGAAAAGAAUGACAUGAACAAUGGGAAGACCAAGGUCCCAGCACAAGUAGUAGAUGCUGAGGAAAGAAGAAGUAUGUUGUGGAGUAAGUGAGUGGGCCUGAGUUGAGAAGAUCCUGGCCUUGGAUUUUUAAACUGUCAAGUGACUAUGGUUGUGCUGGUCUCUGCUUUUCAUUAUGGAUGUAUGUGAGCUUUACUUUCUAUUAAGGUAAGUGGCUCCACUCAACACUGUGCCAGGGUUUCUUAAUUUUCAAAGGUGAACAAAUGAGAUUCUGGACAUUAAAUCUCAACAUCUUAAGGUAAUGGUUCACAGAAAUUAAUUUGGGAGGAAUCAUAGACCAAAAAGCUAGGGCUGGGCGCAGUGGCUCACGCCUGUAAUCCCAGCACUUUGGGAAGCUGAGGCGGGCAGAUCACUUGAGGUCAGGAGUUCGAGACCAGCCUGGCUAACAUGGUGAAACCCUAUCUUUACUAAAAAUAUGAAAAUUAACCAGGCGUGGUGGCAGGCGCCUCCCAUCUCAGCUACUCGAGAGGUGGAGACAGGGGAGUUGCUUGAACCCGGGAGGUGGAGGUUGCAGUGAACCGAGAUUGCACCUUUGUACUCCAGCCUGGGUGACACGAGUGGGACUCCAUCUCAAAAAACAAAACAAAACAAACCCAGAAAGGUAAAAGCUAAACCUACAGAGCUUCUGGGAAAAAACAUUAGAGUGCAUCUUCAUAAUCAUGGCACAACGAUUUCUUAAAUGGGAUUAAUAAAGAGAAACCAUAAAAAAUUAUAAAUUGAAUUUUAUAAAAAUGAAAAUUCUAUUUAUCAAAGACAUCAUUAAGAAAAUGGGGAUAAGACAUAUAGAGAAAAAUAUUAAAAAUACAUAUAUCUGGCAAAUAACUUGUAUUAAGAAUAUUUUAAAAAUUCCAAAUCUCAAUAAUAAAAGACAAACCUAAUUUAAAAUAGGGAAAAAAACUGAAAGAGAUACUUCACAAGAGAAAUUUAUGAAUGGCCAAUAAACUCAUGGAAAGGAAGUCAAUAUCAUUAGUAUUCAAGGAAAUGUAUUUUCCUGAAGACUGCAACGAGAUAGCACUUAACCCCAAGAAAGGCUGAAAUUAAAAGGGCUGACAGUACUAUUGACAGAGUCAUGGAGCAACUGGAACUCAUAUAUGCUGGUUGGGGAAUAAAAUGGUACAAACACUUGGGGCAAUUGUUUGGCAGUUUCUUAUAACAUUAAACAUAUAUUUACAAUAUGACCCAGAGAUUCUUUUCCUAUGUACUUAUAUUAGAGCAAUGAAAACAUAUACUCAUAAAAAAUUUAUCCAAGAAUGCUCAUUACAAUUUUGUUCAUGAUAACCCCAAACGGAAAAAAAUCCAAAUAUGGAUCAACUGGUGAAUAAUUAAACAAUGUGUGGUGUGAUCAUACAAAGGGUACCACUCAAUGAUAAAAGGAACAAGCUGCCUAUAUGUGGAACAACAUGGAUGCAUUUCAGAAACUUUAUGUUGAGUGUAAGAACAAACACGGAGAACAUACUAUGUGGUUCUCUUUAUGUAACAUUACAGAAAUAAAAACAGAGGCAACCACCUCUGAGGCAGUAUGGAGUGAGAUAGACUGGAAAAAGGAAGGAAGGAAACUCUACAUUGAUGGAAAUGUCUGUGUCUUCAUUGGGUGGUAGUUAUGUGGGGAUAUACAUUUGUCAAAAUUUAUUGAACUAUAUACUAGAGAACUCUGCAUUUUAUUGGAUGUAAAUAAUACCUCAAUUAAAAAGACAAAAAAAAAUCCACAGUGAUUGUGAUGGUUAAUUUUACGUAUCAACUUCACUGGGCCACAGGAUGCCCAGAUAGCUGGUCAAGCAGUAUUUCUGGUGUAUCUGUAAAAGUCUUUUUGAAACUGAGUAGUAUUUGAAUUGGUAGACUGGGUAAAAGCAGAGUGAAACAGAGCCAUCUGCCUUAAUCAGUCCACCACUGGCAUCAACCAACUGGUCAAGGGCCUAAAUGGAACAAAGAGGAGGAAGAAGGUUAAAUUCGCUCUCCACCUGACUGCUUGAACUGGGCCAUUGGUUUUCUCCUGCUCUCUGCUCAACUCUUAGGCCUUCAGAUUACACCGCUGGCUUUUGUGGGUCUCCAGCUUGUUGAAUGCAGAUCGUGGUGGUUCUCUGCCUUCAUAAUCGUGUGAGCCCAUACCUUAUAAUACCUUAUAAUAAAUCUCAUUAUAUCUAUUGAUACUUAUUUUGUACUCUGGCUUCACCUAAUCUUAUCCAGGUUUCUUAAGCUCAGUGCUCUAUGACCAUGUGGAUAAAAAUAUACAUGUAAAAGUGCUUGGUAGAAGCCCAAGUGUUAAGUAAGUACUCAGUAAAUAUCAAUUAUUUUCUCUUUCUCUUUGUGUUACUGUCCUGAAAAAUGACUAGUUAACUAGCUUGAAGAAUUGUCCAGAUCAAAGAACACAGGGUUGAUAUCAGGCACAUAGAAUCAACCCAAUAAUAACUAAAAAGAGAGAGUCUUAAAAGAAAAUUAGAAUUUUUUUAAUGAGCUUUGUGCUUAAAACUUAUGUUGCAUCAUUUUCAAAUAUUUUUUCUGGUUAAUUACUGGAUUUUAAAUUAAUUAAAAUCUUUUAAAAGAUCUGCUCAAAAGUAUUUCUUCUACAAGAACUACUUUAAGCAACAUUUUUUCCCUUAGGAUAUUCUUCCCAAGAAUAAAUCUCUGCCCUGUAUUCUGUAGAAGACAUUUUAAGUAUAGUUUUAGUAAUUUAAAACAUUCACAGCUUGUCAAGGAACGCUGAGCUAGGCAGAUCAGUUUAUUAAGAUAACUGAAGUGAAACAAAAAUGAAGAAAAUACAUGGUUUUGUAACACUGAAUUAAUAUUAAUGUGAUCAUGAAAUGAUGAUCACAUUAUUCACAGCUUAAACACUCAAUUCAAAUAUUUCUCAUAUCUGUAGUAAGAAUUUCCAAGAGAUAUAAAAGAGAAAUCUUGUUCUACAAAGAUUCCGAUAGCA